RNAcentral lists this ribosomal RNA (253 nucleotides) under uncultured bacterium. Its description in RNAcentral is "partial 16S ribosomal RNA". It matches the Rfam family "Bacterial small subunit ribosomal RNA", at positions 524 to 776 of the family's 1533-position model. The record is from RNAcentral.
UACGGAGGGUGCAAGCGUUAAUCGGAAUUACUGGGCGUAAAGCGCACGCAGGUGGCUGAGUCAGUCGAUUGUGAAAGCCCUGGGCUUAACCUGGGAAUUGCAGUCGAUACUACUCAGCUAGAGUAUGGGGGAGGGUAGUGGAAUUCCCGGUGUAGCGGUGAAAUGCGUAGAUAUCGGGAGGAACAUCAGUGGCGAAGGCGGGUCUCUGGGCCGAUACUGACGCUGAGGAGCGAAAGCGUGGGGAGCGAACAGG